CUCCAGGAAGACGUCCCACUUCCAACACUCCAUGUUCCAGGGCAUGUUUCCACUUUUCUCACUCAGCCAGCUGAAGUCAUCUCCACCAGGGACAGCAAUCCUUGUGUCCUGGGCAAAGUGAGGCGCCAGCUUUGGUGGAGCCACCAGUUAUCACAAAAAAAGAACCCAGAAUCCAACCCCUCAAACUCACCCAGAAG
Mauremys reevesii (Reeves's turtle) is the source of this 197-nucleotide long non-coding RNA. RefSeq lists it as uncharacterized. The record is from RefSeq and is a predicted model, not a curated record. NCBI's taxonomy places the organism in Eukaryota, Metazoa, Chordata, Testudines, Geoemydidae. The transcript is spliced from 3 exons.